GAAAAUCUGAAUAGCUAUGAAAUGGAAUGAUUUGGUAAACCAAUCCAUAAUGACCAAAUUCUCUCAGAACCAUGAGAAGUACGAGGCAACCACUUAUGAAGUCCACAAUGAUCCACUCCCAUUUCCACUCAGGAAUGAGUAAUCUCUGAAGUAAAUAACUCGAUCUCUGAUGCUCGAGCUCCACCUACCGACAACACAAGAAACAAG
Molecule: long non-coding RNA, 207 nt
Filed under: Capsicum annuum
Lineage: Eukaryota; Viridiplantae; Streptophyta; Magnoliopsida; Solanales; Solanaceae
Description: long non-coding RNA (CANN_LNC010239)
Source: RNAcentral